CAGUAGUCACGAGUUUGAUCCUGGCUCAGGAUGAACGCUAGCGGCAUGCCUAACACAUGCAAGUCGAACGAGACCUUCGGGUCUAGUGGCGCACGGGUGCGUAACACGUGGGAAUUUGCCUCGGGGUAUGGAAUAACUCAGGGAAACUUGAGCUAAUACCAUAUAAUGUCUUCGGACCAAAGAUUUAUCGCCCUGAGAUAAGCCCGCGUAGGAUUAGCUAGUUGGUGAGGUAAAGGCUCACCAAGGCGACGAUCCUUAGCUGGUCUGAGAGGAUGAUCAGCCACACUGGGACUGAGACACGGCCCAGACUCCUACGGGAGGCAGCAGUGGGGGAAUAUUGGACAAUGGGCGAAAGCCUGAUCCAGCAAUGCCGCGUGAGUGAUGAAGGCCUUCGGGUUGUAAAGCUCUUUUACUCGGGACGAUAAUGACGGUACCGAGAGAAUAAGCCCCGGCUAACUCCGUG
RNAcentral lists this ribosomal RNA (463 nucleotides) under uncultured bacterium. RNAcentral describes it as "bacterial SSU rRNA". It matches the Rfam family "Bacterial small subunit ribosomal RNA", at positions 1 to 507 of the family's 1533-position model. The record is from RNAcentral.